Molecule: long non-coding RNA, 484 nt
Filed under: Androctonus crassicauda
Lineage: Eukaryota; Metazoa; Arthropoda; Arachnida; Scorpiones; Buthidae
Source: RNAcentral
UGAAAUACUGCUAUAAUAUGUUAACUGACUGUAUAAUUUUACAUUAUAUUGAUUGCUAGAGCAUUCUACUAUCAUAUCAUUUAAAAUUAUUGAAGAGUUGUAUUAUUGCUUUCAUGAAAUUUGAAAAUGAAAUUUCAUGUUUGUAAUCUAAGAAUGUUCGUAUCUCGAGGAACGUGUGUACAUACUUAUGAUGACAUAGCAUCAAACAGAUGUGAACACAACAAAUGAUGUAUCCAGCAAUACUGAGAGAUCAUCAUGCUGUAUUCUGGUUUUGAAGAAAUGAAAAUUAUAGUAAAAAAAGAGCCUGAUUGGGAUAACACUGUUGAGAUUACUCCUGAUAUUAAUUUAGAAUUUGAUUUUGAGAAUAUAAAAAUAAAAACAGAUCCAGAUAUUAAAUUGGAAAAUACCGAAGAAAUUAUUUUUACAAAUGAAAAAGAUGGCUUCUUUGAUAAUUCUACUUUUGAUAUAAAAAAUAUUCCUGAAG